Homo sapiens (human) is the source of this 511-nucleotide long non-coding RNA. Ensembl annotates it as mir-99a-let-7c cluster host gene. Its record names the gene MIR99AHG. The record is from Ensembl. Lineage: Eukaryota; Metazoa; Chordata; Mammalia; Primates; Hominidae.
CUGAAUGCCAUAUUAAGGAGGUUUAGAGAAAAUCUGAAAGAUCUUCAGGAAUUUUACUGGGAUAAUUAUCCAAAUAAAUUGCAAGCAUUCUAUCCAAAUGGAGCUCUUUCUGAGAUGAAGAGAAUUCUCAAUGUCAAGAUUUGAACAAGAAGAGAAUGGAAUACACAAUAUGGACAUCCAUAAAAAUUCAUCAGAGAGCAUUUUACUACUGAGCUGCAAAGGUGUCUGAUGAUUUGUGAGCCUCAAGUGACUACUCUGUGGAAUCAUCUGUCCUUGCCUUUGAAUUAGCUUUCCCUAGGCCAUGAGUCAACAUUAGUAGUUUAUACAUCCAAAUUGGAAUCCACAGAAUUUCAAUUUCAAAACCUCUGUUCUCAGAAAUAUUAGAUGACAAGAGCACCUCAAAGGCAGCAGCCUCAAGGAGCAGCCAUGGCCCCAGACUUGUCGCACGGAUGCAGAAAACUUAAUGGAGGAGGCUGAGGUCAGAAUGGGAAGAGUUUUUAAAAAAUAAAAA